This 72-nucleotide antisense RNA is filed under the name Streptomyces albireticuli. RNAcentral's name for it is "ASpks TB sRNA". It matches the Rfam family "ASpks TB sRNA". The record is from Rfam by way of RNAcentral. Lineage: Bacteria; Bacillati; Actinomycetota; Actinomycetes; Kitasatosporales; Streptomycetaceae.
CUUCAGCGAGCCGAGCCACAACGGUUCGCCCGCGCGCUCCCGCCCGUACGUCGCCAGCAGCGCGCCCGCCUC